Molecule: transfer RNA, 72 nt
Filed under: Chelonia mydas (Green sea turtle)
Lineage: Eukaryota; Metazoa; Chordata; Testudines; Cheloniidae
Rfam family: tRNA
About the family: Transfer RNA (tRNA) molecules are approximately 80 nucleotides in length. Their secondary structure includes four short double-helical elements and three loops (D, anti-codon, and T loops).
Source: Rfam by way of RNAcentral
GGCAGUGUAGUCCAGUAGAGAGGACACUAACCUGAGAUUUAGAAGAUCUGGAUUCUAUUUCUAGCUCUGCCA